Molecule: ribosomal RNA, 253 nt
Filed under: uncultured bacterium
Lineage: Bacteria
Description: partial 16S ribosomal RNA
Rfam family: Bacterial small subunit ribosomal RNA
Source: RNAcentral
UACGGGGGGGGCAAGCGUUGUUCGGAAUUACUGGGCGUAAAGGGCUCGUAGGUGGCCAACUAAGUCAGACGUGAAAUCCCCAGGCUCAACUUGGGAACUGCGUCUGAUACUGGAUGGCUUGAGUUUGGGAGAGGGAUGCGGAAUUCCAGGUGUAGCGGUGAAAUGCGUAGAUAUCUGGAGGAACACCGGUGGCGAAGGCGGCAUCCUGGACCAACACUGACACUGAGGAGCGAAAGCCAGGGGAGCAAACGGG